GAGAAAUGGUACCAGCUCUUCUUUGUACUUCUGGUAGAAUUCGGCUCUGAAUUUGGUUCCACUCUCCCCAUCACUUUCAGGUACACCAACCAAAUACAUUGUUGUCUUUGGGACCAAUACAUUUCUUCUAUCUGCAUAUCUGGGUAGAAGCUCUCAUGGAAGAAAAAAGAAAAGCCCCAUAGGUGAAGGGGAGUGUGCCUGCCAAGUUCCUUGUAAUAACUUCACACGCAGAGUAUUUUAUGAAAUGAAUCUGCUGGAGUCAUCUCAUGGAAUCUUCUCAUUCUUCUGGAGUCUCCUCAUUUUACAGGAAAAACAUCCAGGCAAGUGGAAAGCAUUUGCAUCAGCCCAGCAAUAAGAAGGACCAUAUUCUACUUGGGAAAAGGUAAAGACGUUUCAUAUGGAUGGAGCCUGCCAGGAAACCUGUCAUUCAACCCUUUGCAAUAAAACAGCUCCUCAUGAAUGAAGCAAAAUAAAUCAGAAGUCGUGGGCUUUUAAAUUCACUAAAUGAAAGCCCAGCAUGCAUGCAGCCUCCCUCCAAAUUAAUCACCAGAUUAAAUGCAAGAUGUGCACACCAAAUCAAUAGCUUGUGACAGAGACCUCCUGCCUGUGCUUCAGGAAAAUUCCAUUUCCUUUCAGAUGUUGUAGCUUGAAAUGUCAGGAAGUUUCCAUUCAUCACCCGCCCUUGAAAAUGCCACCAUCACCAUGCUUCAUGUUUCCUUGCUUUCUUUCUUCAGAGGAAUCCAAGCACCUUGCAGAGGGAGCCCACUCAUUGUCACAG
This 778-nucleotide long non-coding RNA is filed under the name Pongo abelii (Sumatran orangutan). Its description in RNAcentral is "lincRNA". Lineage: Eukaryota; Metazoa; Chordata; Mammalia; Primates; Hominidae. The record is from RNAcentral.